GAAGAACCUCCCCUGUUUCCACCAUCAUCAACCUCUUGUUGCUCCUUCAUGCUUCUCUUGAAGAAACUUAUGAGCAAAAGACGAACAUGGGUUUUCCUCUUUCUCACUGUUUACACAAUUUUACUCUCAAUUUCCUGGAAUUUCCUCAAUUCAGUACUUUCUUGGUACGAAUCCACCAUGAAAUUGACACCCACUUCAGCUCUCUACGGAUCUAUGAUAUUAGGGCUUGCAUUUGGGGUUUUAUCGAUUGUAGCAGCUCUGAUCGUUGUGGUUCCAGCAACACUUGUAACUUGGAUAACUAUUUUGGUUUUAUCGAUUGUAGCAGCUCUGAUCGUUGUGGUUCCAGCAACACUUGUAACUUGGAUAACUAUUUUGGUUUUGUUGACAUUUGCAGGUAAAGGGAGAAGGGAUUUGGUUAUCGAGGGGAAGAAGUUAACGGCUGAGAUUUCUGGGUUUGUUGUUAGGGUUUUGAUUAGAGAAGGGAAUCUUGUUGCUGUGAUUUGUGCUGUUCUUGGGUAUUUUGCACUUGUUAGAAGGAAUAAAGAAGAUGGUAUUGAUUAUUGAAUU
RNAcentral lists this unclassified non-coding RNA (567 nucleotides) under Hevea brasiliensis (rubber tree). Lineage: Eukaryota; Viridiplantae; Streptophyta; Magnoliopsida; Malpighiales; Euphorbiaceae. The record is from RNAcentral.